Molecule: ribosomal RNA, 524 nt
Filed under: uncultured bacterium
Lineage: Bacteria
Description: partial 16S ribosomal RNA
Rfam family: Bacterial small subunit ribosomal RNA
Source: RNAcentral
GACGAACGCUGGCGGCGUGCCUAAUACAUGCAAGUCGAACGUAGCUUUUUUAACUGGUGCUUGCACCGACUUAAACAACUGAGUGGCGAACGGGUGAGUAACACGUGGGUAACCUGCCCCAAAGCGGGGGAUAACAUUUGGAAACAGAUGCUAAUACCGCAUAACCACAGAAACCACAUGGUUUCUGUGUCAAAGAUGGUUUCGGCUAUCACUUUGGGAUGGACCCGCGGCGUAGUAGCUAGUUGGUAAGGUAAUGGCUUACCAAGGCAAUGAGACGUAGCCGAACUGAGGGGUUGAUCGGCCACAUUGGGACUGAGACACGGCCCAAACUCCUACGGGAGGCAGCAGUAGGGAAUCUUCCACAAUGGACGAAAGUCUGAUGGAGCGACGCCGCGUGAGUGAAGAAGGUUUUCGGAUCGUAAAACUCUGUUGUCAGAGAAGAACGUGUGCGAGAGUAACUGUUCGUGCAGUGACGGUAUCUGGCCAGAAAGCCACGGCUAACUACGUGCCAGCCGCCGCCGUAA